UGGUAGCGACAUCGCCGGCCACACACCCACAGGGAGGACGUCCCCUGGAGACCCCAGUAGCCCACAGUCACCAAAACAGACAGAACCAUUGACACCCAGAAGAACCAGUCCGCUGAUUGCCUGCACCUGUAGGGCCCAAACGGGGUCAGAGCAAGAAUCUCAGUGUCCGGAAAAGCAGCAGAAGAUGGCUUCCUGCCACCUACACGGGAGACCCGGAUGGAGUUGCUGGUUCCUGGCUUCAGCCUGGCCCAGCCCCAGCCAUUGUGGCCAUUUAGGGAGUGAACCAGAGGAAUGAAAAAGUCUGUGUGUGUGUAUAUGUGUGUGUCACUCUGCCAUUCAAAUAAAUAAAACUUUAGGAAUGAACUCCAACGCCUCCAAUCCUGGGGGCCUGAGCUACCCCCCUGGGGAGCUCCUUGCUCUGGGGGAGGUGCCAGCAGCUGUCACUCAAGGCCCCGGUGAUCUAGUUCAUGGAAAGCGGGGGGGGGGGGGGUAGGGGGUUUAAAAAGAUAAGUGUGUGUUUCCGUGUCAACCCAGAAAGCAGGAUCUUGAGAAUGAAGAAGUGUGUUGGAGCCAGGUGAUGGUGGCUUCUUGGAAGCACCUGCUGUGCUCUGAGCAGGCUGAAUGGCUGCACGAAGGAGGGAAAGGGGAGGCUGCUAUAAAUGUGGCAACAAUGCGUUGAUCAAGAACAGCGCACGCCACUGCCUCGCUGGUGCUGGCUGCUAUGUCCACGCUGCACAUUCCAGGCGCGUCGCCAUCGGCAAGAAUGUGGUUUACUUGAUUGAGAUGCUGCCCAGUGGCGUCAGCUAGUCGGCAUGGAUUAGCCAAUACGCCAGGGUCUCGCAUGCCUGGGCUCUGGAUUUUGAGUUGAGCCUCCGUGUUAUCUGGGCUAAAAUCCCUCUUUCUCGGUUACAAAAUAGAUUGACGUCUACACCUGGCUUGUUGCAUCGCGUGUGUUUUCGUGACCUUCUCGAAGUUUCCUCUGCUGUUCAGAAGCUGGUUUUUGCAGCAAGCACCCUGCAUCCUGGCUCCUCCGUGGGGCUGCUGCUGCCUGAGACACUGGCAUCCCAUAUGGGACCGGUUGGAGUCUUGGCUGCUCCAUUUCUGAUCCAGCUCUCUCCUGUGGCCUGGGAAAGCAGUGGAGGAUGGCCCAAGUCCUUGGGCCCCAGCACCCGUGUGGGAGACCUGGAAGAAGCUCCUGGCUCCUGGCUUUGGAUCAGCGCAGCUCUGGCCGUUGUGGCCAUCUGGGGAGUGAACCAGCGGAUAGAAGACCUGUCUCUUUCUCUCUGCCUCUCUGUAACUU
This 1300-nucleotide long non-coding RNA is filed under the name Oryctolagus cuniculus (rabbit). RNAcentral's name for it is "lncRNA (ENSOCUG00000039423.1)". Lineage: Eukaryota; Metazoa; Chordata; Mammalia; Lagomorpha; Leporidae. The record is from RNAcentral.